CUUGAGAACACUUCAUCCAUUACCUCCAGGCAAUCAUGUCGACUCUCAGUAGGUUGCGGCAAGAGGGUAGCUGGGUUCAAGGUAUUAACAGUCUCAAGAUGCACUCUCGGGUUCUCGCAUAACAUGGCUUGAUACUUAGUCAUGCGGCUAUUGCUAAACCAAUAAUUACCUUUAUAGUCUAGCAACGUCUGUACUGCGUGCGGGACUCGCACAUAG
Pelobates cultripes (western spadefoot toad) is the source of this 216-nucleotide non-coding RNA. The record is from the annotation of a GenBank genome assembly. Lineage: Eukaryota; Metazoa; Chordata; Amphibia; Anura; Pelobatidae.